UACGUAGGGGGCAAGCGUUGUCCGGAAUCAUUGGGCGUAAAGAGCGUGUAGGCGGCCAGACAGGUCCGUUGUGAAAACUCGAGGCUCAACCUCGAGAUGUCGAUGGAAACCGUCUGGCUAGAGUCCGGAAGAGGAGUGUGGAAUUCCUGGUGUAGCGGUGAAAUGCGCAGAUAUCAGGAAGAACACCUAUGGCGAAGGCAGCACUCUGGGACGGUACUGACGCUGAGACGCGAAAGCGUGGGGAGCGAACAGG
This 253-nucleotide ribosomal RNA is filed under the name uncultured bacterium. RNAcentral describes it as "partial 16S ribosomal RNA". It matches the Rfam family "Bacterial small subunit ribosomal RNA", at positions 524 to 776 of the family's 1533-position model. The record is from RNAcentral.